Molecule: unclassified non-coding RNA, 393 nt
Filed under: soil metagenome
Description: partial contains 5.8S ribosomal RNA, internal transcribed spacer 2, and large subunit ribosomal RNA
Rfam family: 5.8S ribosomal RNA (bases 1-122)
Source: RNAcentral
GAUGAAGAACGCAGUGAAAUGCGAUACUUGGUGUGAAUUGCAGAAUCCCGUGAACCAUCGAGUCUUUGAACGCAAGUUGCGCCCGAAGCCAUUAGGCCGAGGGCACGCCUGCCUGGGCGUCACACGUCGUUGCCCCCCCCCAUCUACUCCUUCGGGAUUGCGGGGGGCGGAUGAUGGCCUCCCGUGCGCCUCGCCGCGCGGUUGGCAUAAAUGCCAAGUCCUCGGCGACGCACGCCACGACAAUCGGUGGUUGCGAAACCUCGGUUGCCCGUCGUGUGCGGUCGUCGCGCAUCGAGGGCUCGAAAAAAUUGCCGAGUUCCGGCUCGGCUUUCAACGCGACCCCAGGUCAGGCGGGGUUACCCGCUGAAUUUAAGCAUAUCAAUAAGCGGAGGA